Molecule: ribosomal RNA, 494 nt
Filed under: uncultured bacterium
Lineage: Bacteria
Description: partial 16S ribosomal RNA
Rfam family: Bacterial small subunit ribosomal RNA
Source: RNAcentral
GACGAACGCUGGCGGCGUGCUUAACACAUGCAAGUCGAACGGUGAAGCGCCUUCCUUUUUGGUGGGUGUGGAUGAGUGGCGAACGGGUGAGUAACACGUGAGUAACCUUCCCCCUUCUUCUGGAUAACCGCAUGAAAGUGUGGCUAAUACGGGAUAUUCUGGGUCUGUCGCAUGAUGGGUCUGGGAAAGAUUUUGUUUCGGUUGGGGAUGGGCUCGCGGCUUAUCAGCUUGUUGGUGGGGUGAUGGCCUACCAAGGCGGUGAGGGGUAGCCGUCAUGAGAGGGUCGACGGUCACACGGGGACGGAGAGGCGGCCCAGACUACGACAGGAGGCAGCAGGGGAGAAUAUUGAACAGGGGGAGGAAGCCUGAUGCAGCGACGCCGCGUGAGGGAUGGAGGCCUGCGGGUAGUGAACCUCUUUCGGGAGUGAAGCAGUCCGGCCGCGUUUGUGGGUGGGUUGACGGUAGCUGGAUAAGAAGCGCCGGCUAACUACGUG